CCUGAUUCUUGAAUUUCCAUUUGUUCCAGAAUCUGAAGACUUCCUUCUAAGCAUCACUUUGGACAGUGUAGGCCACACAAAAAUACUAUGCAGGACAUGAGGUCAGAAGAAUUUUUCAGGUGCUAAUCAAUGGCUUAUAAAAUCCAAUUCUAGAAGGGAAUUGUAAACUUCAAGAACCACAUCUCAACAAACCCCUGAAGGCCAGUCUAGAUCCUGAAGAAGUGACAGGUGUUUACAGAGCUGCUCUGAAAUUAGUCUUCCUUGUUAUCAGCAAGAUGAAGAUCGUGACUAUUUUUUACUUUGGCACACAGAGAAUUAUCUUGUUCCAGCUGUUAGGCCCUCUGCAAGGCCUAAGUACUUUCUGUCAUCACCAUGAGGCCUUUGAUGACACAACAAACUCCUAGAAGCAAAUCUGUCAGCUCUGCAUGGCCCAGUCACAGGCCCUGCUGGCUCCACAGAGGCACUUUUAUAAUGGUUCAAAUUAGGAGCACAGAAGAGGGAUGAGAGGAAAGCUGAUCAUGGAAAGGUAACGACUCUAGCCACAGUCCAAAGAAAUCCUUUGGGGCAGCUGUCAGCCAGGCGCCAUCACACACAUUCAUCUUCCUUCUUUUGCACUUCUUCAUCACUUUCUUUUGGUUGAUUAUUUUUCUUCUUCUUGUAGUUAAUAAUUUAGUUUUGUCACCACCCGCUCCCGGCUUGUCUCUAAGCCUUGGUUGCCCGAACGCUUGCGGUUACGCUUGAGCUUGGAUAAGUCUUUGUCAAAGACUUCACCCGACCUUAAUGCUGAUACCAGGUCAUCAAACUCCCCACUCUCUUCAGAGAUGCUUCCAGCUUUUGCUUUCUUUUGUCGCCUUUCUUUUUCCCUCUGCUCUUUUAGCUGUGGAGAAAGACACAGAGCUUUAGGAUCAGCUAACCAAGAUGCCAGAUCACUAGGUACACUGCCAAGAAGCAGCUAAAAUGCAUCAGCACAGAUUAGGGAAAAAAAAAGCAGGAGCUUAUUUAUAAGGCCAUCACCUGGUGCCAAGAGCAACAGGAAACAAUGUGGGACUUCCCUUCUGCAGAAGGUAGGAGAGAUGAGGAAUGAGUAGCACCGUGUGUCUACCUCCCAAAGCACUAUCACCCUGCAGCAAAGAGGAUGCAUGGGAUCUAUCUGUGCUGCUGCUGUUUUGCACUAAUUUUACAGUAGGAUAGUGCCAGUAAAGUACCUGUGCCAAAUGACCAGCUACAGGUGAUGCUGGCAUAGGUAAUUACCCAGCUUCUGGGACCUGGCUUGCAGUGACCUUAGUGUGCCAGCACCUACCAUGCUGAUUGCACCUAACCUAGUGAGUCUGAAAUGAGUUGGGAUGUGUCUGUACAAAACACAGUCACAAACAACUUUGCACUUGAGGCAUAGCUAGCUAAACUGACAUGCAGAAAGGCUGAAGUCCUGCAAAAGGAGGAAAAGAAGAAAGAAAAGAUCCUAGAAAGCUACAAGCUAAAUAUAUUGCAGAAUGAAAAUUGUCCGAGAUAUCAAAUUAUUAAUAGAAACCCUAUGCACCAAACAGCUCAUGUUUGCAUGGUGGCAGCAUGUUGCACUGCUGGGAAGAUGAAGACACAUUGCCUCAACUCUGGAAAGAGAAACUGAUUAUAAACACAAAGAGCAGAACUGCUGAUUUUACAAAUCAUUGGAUAAGUCCACCUGUCAGUGUGAUGCCCUUGGUCUCCCAAGGGUAGCUCCAAGGAGCUAGGCUAUCCCUUCUACACUGCUCAGAUUCAAACUCAGUAGAAAUGCCAAGGGAUGGUCGUGACUGUCAGGAAGCAGACUGCUUGCUCUGCCCACUAGCUCCACAUUGCAGGAAGACUCUUUCCAUAAGCAAACUGCAGCCUCCCUAAUGGUGUAUUAGCUUAUGAAACCACCCUAGUUCUUUAGCAGCGGGCUUCUGCACUUUCCAGGCUGACUGAGAGGAAACUUGAGCCUAAGCCCUGGCGUUUUAUCCUUGUGUCCAACAGUAAGGCUGCUGGCAUCCUGGUGUUUUACCUCUCUCCUCUUCUGAAAGGCACAAACCAGUGCUUUUGGCACAGCAAACAUUUAAAUCAUCAACUCCCCACAGCAAGGCUUGGGGCCAUGGUGGCAGCCAGGGUUACAGGGCUGGCAGGGGGGAAGGAGGCAAGGGGACUGCCAAACUUCUCAGGCAUCACAGAGGCUGAGGUUAGAGGGGGAGGCUGGUUCACAUGAACCCCUGGGGGAACACACGUCUGUCUCCCAGCAGCAAAAUCCAUGAUGCACAAAAGUUCUCUUGCCACAUCAAAGCUGGAUGCAGCCCCAGUAAUCAAGGCAUUAAGGCUGCCAGAGAGAAAUACUGCCAGUGUGGGCUGCAGCAGGUGCCAGGGCAUUUGCUGUGUCACUGUAUAUUGUCAGAUGACAGGCACACAGCAGAGGAUGAUGGAUUCUGACUGGAAGCUGACCAGCUUGGCAGGAGUGAGGGAAAUCUGGCUUCUUCACUUUCAGCCCAAAAGCAGAAUACUCUGGCAUGGGGCAGGGGCAACACCAUUCUGCAAAGUGCCAGGGCAGAACUACUUGGGCUAGAUUUGGUAUCUGAAUACAAAAGAGGGUAAUUUAGGAGCCAAACAGUAUGUCCUUGAGAGCUGACAAGACAGACAGCAGGAAAAAUGUCAUCAUUUGAAAAGAGAAUUAUGCCAAAGAGAGGUAGUUGGGAGAAGAACAUAAAAUACUGACAGUGAUGGCACAUGAGCAUUGAAAUUGGCUCUCUCAGCCUUUUUCUCAAGACAUGAAAAGGCAACAGAAGGAAACACCUUCCUGUGCCCAAAUCCUCACCAUAGCCUCCAUGCGUGCCCUGCGCUCCUCCUCUUCCUUUUUCUUCCUCAUAUUCUCCAGAUCUUGCUUGGCCUCUCCAAAUGACUGUAAGAAAGUGUCGAAGAUGCCAAAAAAUUCAUCUGGCUGCAUCUUGCCCUCGCCCUCUCCAAAAUGCUUCAGUGCCUUGGCAUACUGUCAAGGGGGUAGAAAACAAUAGAGCAAGAAUUAGGCAGGCAGUUUGGUGAAGACAGCAAGGAUAGCUUAUGAGUAACCACACAUGCAAUUCAAUACCCUCUGAACAUUCAUGUGGUGGGAGCAGAAACUACCCCCAGCAACAGAAGCACUUCUCCUUAAGGCAGGUGCCUCUAUCCCUGAAGAAUCUUCUCUCCUGGAUAUCCUUUGGGAGUCAUGGGGCAAUGGUGCUGGAGAGCACUAACUGUCCACUUAUACAAACACCCCUCCAUGUUUAGUGCCUAAGGGUAAUAGAGUUAAUUUCAGAGGACAGCCCUCUGGCCAUAUCUCAGCUGCACCUAUGGGACAGCCAGGGCAUGGAAAACAGUGAGCUAGGUGGGGAAACAAGUAGUUUUAGUCCAUACUUUCCCCUUCCACCUUCCCUUCAAAUCCACUUCUAAAAUGUUUUGAGUUAAAGGGGUUUUUACAAUAAAAUUACAGUCUGUCCUCUCAGAAACCUUUUGCCAUGUCAUCCAUCUCUCUGGAGUCCUCUGAGUCAGGGUGUUGCUUGGGAGAGAGGAGACUAUAGACAGACAAGGCAUGAGAGAGGGGCAAGGAAAGCAGCCAGGGCUCCCGGGCAGACUUAAAAGACAGUGAAUACAUCACAAGUGGUUUUUAUUUUAAAAGGCAAAUGUUGAGGCUGCAGGAUACAUUUUGAGGCAGCCAACUGGCAGGACUUCAGUCACAGGGCAGUUCUGAUGGGAUAAAUUCACAGCAAUCCCUGGCUCUUGGGCAUCAGUCCUGCAGGAGUUGUACUCUCUUCUUUGCACACUCACACUUAGAAGCAUGCCUUGUUACUCACUGAAAUGCACUCAAAUCCCUGCACAUACAGUCUGUCAACAGCAUGUACACACACAGCCACUAAGUGCUACAUAAGGACACACAUCCAAAAGCUGUAACAUCGUCCAGCUGCCUUCACUCACACACCUCUGUACUGCAACAGGCAGCACGAGAAAUACAUUCCUGAAGGUAUUUGUGUCCUGAUGCACGGCUGUCCUACCUUGCACUUUGGCACACCACCACUGAGCAGCUGAGCAUCCUUACAAACCUCAACAUUUACCAAACCAAACCCAGACUCUCCCAGGCUAUAGUCUGCCUUCAAACUCUCUCAAGGUCAUACUAACACAGCGUAGUUUCCCCCUUUCCUUAUGUGGGUGCUCUUGCAGAAUGAAAGACAGUAAGAAUCGUUCACGCUCCAAUCCCAAACACAAAAUGAGUUUGGAAGCAGGUUUCAUAAACCCCUCUGGCCCUGUACCAGGUAAAGCAUAAACAAUGUCUCCCUUUCAACUGGGAAGAAAUGUCCAAGGAAAGCAGCUUCCUUCUGGCACGGCCUGAGAGAUUCAGCAUCUCUCCUUCUCUGCUUUCCCUGCCAGGCCCACAAAGUUUGAAGCAAUAGCUUCUUUUUUAUUUUAAACAGGCUGUGUUCUCAGCCAGAAACAAACAAAGAAAACCAAAGAAUCUGGAAAAAAAAGUGUUGGAAGAAAUGCAAGUUGCCUUGAGCUACCAAACAUGGCAGAAGUUGAAGGAAACUCUACAUGGAAACAGCAACAGAUUACUUCUCUGUUUAACUCCUUUUCUCUGAAAGCCUCUGAAGGUACAUACACAAGUAUGCACACCUCUCCCAAUCCCUCUGUGCAAUUUUAUCUGUAUAUUAUGUACUCAUAGGCUGUUUGAAUAUAGGAAAGUGCAGGAGUCUCACAGUAACCCACUCCGAAACAGUACUAGCUCUUCAUAAAGAGAGAAUAUAGGCUGUAAAUACCAGAGAAGGAGAUAAAGCAUCUCCAUGUGCUCUACUUCUUAUCUUGUUUGCUCCAGUGUGACAAUCAGUCAGGGAGGCAGAAGAGUGCCAGAGGAAGACUUCAGCACAGGCAUUGCCCCUACUGCUUGAACACACAGAGCACCUGAAGCUCAUUACUCAGCAUAUCCAGGGGAUAUGCUACCUGGAAUCUCUUUCCACUUAAUUUGUUGUUAACUCCUGUGAAAAUUGGAAAUAAGGCACAAAUUAAGAGCAGUGACUAGAGCUGCUAGCUGGAAGGAAGGCCUGUCGAACUCCCAUGAAGCCUGAAGUCCAUGGGCAGCCCAGAGGAGAUGGCUGUUGCCCCUUGCAAUGCAUUGUGUCCCUCCCUUGUGUUCCUCUUGUGCUCAGCAAAGAUCCUGAAUGCCUUUCUUUAUCAUGAUAAACACUUGUUUGAGAGGAACUGUCAUCAGAAAGACUGGAAAUGGACACUUUUUCUACCUACCUCAUCAGCCUUGCCCCAGCAGUGGCCUCUGCUGUGCCUCUAUAGAGAGGCUUAAGUUUAACAUUCAGCACAGGAAUGGCAAUAUCUGACUAAGCAGACUUUGUUCUCCUAAGACGAUCCAAAAUGUUUAAAAACAGGUUUGUUAUAAACCAAGCACAAAGUAGAACAGCUAUGACACGGUCUAGUGAUCUAAGUUCAUACUGUCAAUACUUAAGUACAUAGUAAAGCUUCAUAUAGGGCAAAUGUCACCUUUUUCAAGUAGGAAAAUAAAAUUCAUACCAUGGGAGGUUACUGUGCCUCUGCGUGGGGAUUCUCAUUGCUUCUCCAAAGGAAACAGAGAAAAAAUUUUCACAAACAAUAUUCAACCUCAUCUUUCUUAUGUAAAAAAGUCAAUUUUUUGUCUGUUCAAAUAUGUAAAAACUGGCGAAGGAUUCAAGGGCAGUUUCACUUUCUCCUGCCCCCACCUUAAAGUUUAUGGGAAAUGGCAGAAAGCAUUAUCCCUUGAUCUAAUGUAUAUACUCCCUUAUAAAGGAGUAUUGAAAGCGAGAAAAACACAAAAAGAACAAGAACCAGCUGUGCUAGGGAGCCUGUUUAAAGAGUUGGUCUAAGUUUUCAAUCAGUUCUUAACCAAGCCAUCUGUUUACCGCAUGAAGAUACGUACAGUUACAAGGCUUCCCCUGCAAACAGGGAUGCCUGAGUCUGACAACCUGGCCCUUUAAAUUUAAAAUAUCACUUCCUCUCCAUGGCCACUGACCAUGAAUUGUUCUGUUUAAGCAAAAAGGCCAGAAAAAGUACUGCAUGGGAUUCUGAAAAAUAUCAUCUGCCAAGAAGGUCAGCAACACACCUUGGUAAUGGAUUGUUUCCAUAACUGAAGAAAUUACUUCUGCUAAUACUGAAGAAGUUUAAAAAAAA
Molecule: long non-coding RNA, 6177 nt
Organism: Chiroxiphia lanceolata (lance-tailed manakin)
Lineage: Eukaryota; Metazoa; Chordata; Aves; Passeriformes; Pipridae
Exons: 2
Source: RefSeq, a predicted model, not a curated record